AAAACAUAACCUUUAGCCAAACAAAUAUUAAAGGCAAUGCCUGCCCAGUGAACAAUUAAACGGCCGCGGUACCCUAACCGUGCAAAGGUAGCGUAAUCACUUGUCUAUUAAUUGUAGACCAGUAUGAAAGGCAAAAUGAGGGUCUAUCUGUCUCUUACAGUAAAUCAAUUAAACUGAUCUCCUAGUAAAAAAGCUAGAAUCCACACAUAAGACCAGAAGACCCUGUGAAGCUUAAACUAAACUAUUAAACCUUAUAAUACUUACUUUAGGUUGGGGCGACCUUGGAAAAAAAAAGAACUUCCAAACAUAAACCACACUCACACAUAGGCCCACAAGCCUUACAAUAGACCCAGUACAACUGAUAAUUGAACCAAGUUACUCCAGGGAUAACAGCGCCAUCUUCUUCAAGAGCCCAUAUCAAAAAGAAGGUUUACGACCUCGAUGUUGGAUCAGGACAUCCUAGUGGUGCAGCCGCUUCUAAGGGUUCGUUUGUUCAACGAUUAACAGUCCUACGUGA
RNAcentral lists this ribosomal RNA (517 nucleotides) under Dipsas andiana. Its description in RNAcentral is "LSU rRNA". It matches the Rfam family "Bacterial large subunit ribosomal RNA", at positions 1810 to 2603 of the family's 2925-position model. The record is from RNAcentral. Lineage: Eukaryota; Metazoa; Chordata; Lepidosauria; Squamata; Dipsadidae.